This 529-nucleotide long non-coding RNA is filed under the name Gossypium raimondii (Peruvian cotton). RNAcentral's name for it is "long non-coding RNA (GRAI_LNC006162)". Lineage: Eukaryota; Viridiplantae; Streptophyta; Magnoliopsida; Malvales; Malvaceae. The record is from RNAcentral.
CCAGGUAGUGGUUGUGGUCUAAUCGAAUUCUGUCUGUGGGAAAAAUCUAAUAAAUUAUCAGGAUAUCGAUUGGUUCAGGAGUGUGUUUUUAAAAAACAGGGAUAUUCUUUUAAUUUGAUUUUUUAUUUUAUUUUCUUUUUCCAAAGAUUCCAUUAUUCACCCGUUCCAUUUGUUUUGUUAGUUUUUUUAUUUAUUUUGUUUUAUUAUUUGUUUUCUUUUAUUCACGAUUUUUCUUCAUCUUUUCUUUUUGUUCUUUUUUAUUCUUGCGAUUUCUUUUCACUUUUGCGCUCUUUCUUUAUUUCCAAUCUGGUUGGAUUAUGUUGCUUUGGUUUAGUGGGAUUAAUUAGUUAAGAGGUAAGGUUAUUUUUUUCUAUUCCUUUGUUGAAUGUUGUUCUUUUGGCAUUUAGGGAUUUUUGGAAAUUUAAUAGUUGUGGUGUUAAAUCUGAGUUAUAUGUUAUCUAAUUAGUCUGAAUCAUUUUAGGGGAAGAUCGUGAGGCGAUUGGUGUUCCUCCAAUGCCGUAAUUUCGAG